This 1267-nucleotide long non-coding RNA is filed under the name Sus scrofa (pig). Its description in RNAcentral is "lncRNA (ENSSSCG00005014718.1)". The record is from RNAcentral. Lineage: Eukaryota; Metazoa; Chordata; Mammalia; Artiodactyla; Suidae.
GUGCUUGCUUGGUUUCUCGCUGGGUAAAAGAACUGAUACACUACAGCUACAGGGCUGUCGCCAGAACUGGCACGCUACAACCACAGGGCUGUCACUAGAGCUGACACACUGCAGCCCAGGGCUGCUGGGCAGCUGCCAUAGCAUUAACAAAUCUAUUUCUUCCUAUCACUUAGUCUCUUGCUGGAUUCCUUCCACACCGAGACACAAAGAACCUGAACACCGGUACAUCGAGACACCAGAGCUGUAAAAGACAAUUUCUCUAAGAAUUUCUCUAAGAAACACCAAAGUGCAGAUGCGAUUAAGAUGGUGGAAUAGAAGGACUGGAGCUCAACUUCUCUCUUAAAAACAACAAAAUUUAAAACCAAAUGCUGAGCAAUCUUCAACCAAAUGGACCAGAAACUUUCAAAAAGAUACCCUACUCCAGAAGACAAAGAGGAGGCCACAUCAAGAGGUAGGAGGGGCGAUUACGUGAUAUAAGCAACCCCAUACCUCCCAGGUGGGAAGCCCCUCAGACUGGAAAGUAACUGUUUCACGAAGACUCACCUACAAGAGUGAGAAUUCUGAGCCUCACAUCAAACCCUCACGUGUGGGGAUCUGGCACUGGGAGAAAGAGCCCCUGGAGUAUCUGGCAUUGAAGGCCAGUGGGGCUUGUGUGCAGGAGCUCCAUGGGACUGGGGGAAACAGAAAUACCAUUCUUAAAAGAUGCACACAGACUUUCAUGUGCACUGAGUCCCAGGGCAAAGUUAAGUCUCCAUAGAAAUCUGGGUCAAACCUGACUGCAGUUCUUAGAGGAUGUCCUGGAAAAACAGGGGUGAAUGUGGCUUGUUGUGGGGGAAGGACAUUGGAAGCAAAGCUCUUGGGAAUAUUCAGCAGUGUGCCUUUCUCUGGAGGUGGCCAUUUUGGGAAAAUCUGGCCCCACCCAUCAGCCUGAGAAGGCCCAGGCCAAAGAACAAUCCAGGUGGGAUCACAGCUCUGCCCAACAGUAAACAGACUGCCUAAAGACCCCCCAGGCACACAGCCACCUUUAAUCUUACCCAGAGACAAAGCCCCACCCACCAGAGGAUAGGAAUCAGCUCUACCUAACAGUGGGCAGGUAUCAGCCCCUCUCAUCAGGAAGCCUACAGCAAGUCCCCCUCCCCCACCAACUUCAGCCACAAGGGGGGCAGACACCAGAAGUAAGAGAGGCUACAAUUCUAUUAUCUGUAAAAAGGUCACCACACCAAAAACCUAUAAAAAUGAAAAGACAGAGAACUAUAACUCAGAUGAG